AUGACUCGCCGCAGACGGCCUUCUUCGACGCGGCCACCGGGGGCGACCUCCGCCGCCUCAGGGGUGGGCAAUCUCCCGUCGCACCCACAUCUCAAGAAUCUCGCCGUGCACGGCCGCGCGGCGCCCUCUCCCCACGAUGCGGCGUCGCAUUUGCUAGGGUUUUGGCGGGAAUGGGAGUUGGCGAGCGGCAAGGAUGCGGAGGAGAAGGCGUGGCUUGCCGAUGUGUCCAUCCAAGGUGUUGGGCCGUUUCAGGCCGCCGCGCGCCUGGGAAAAGUUGAUGUGUGCAGGUGCUUGGUGGAGGAGCUCGGCUUUGACAUCAAUGCUGGAAGCAAAAUUGGUGUAACUGCGUUGGCUGCUGCUGCAUUGGAUGGAAAAAUGGCUGUUGUUAGGUACCUUCUUGACAAUGGGGCAGAUCCAAAUAAGAAAGACGACGCAGGCUCUGUUCCUCUUCACUGUGCUGCAAAAUUUGGGCAUCACGAAGCAGCAAGACUAUUGCUAUCUAGAGGAGCUAGUGUUGAUAUAGCUUAUUUUCAUGGGACACCACUACAUAUUGCUGCUUACUAUGGGAAGGCCAGUGUCAUGAAAGUCUUAUUGGAGCACCAUGCAGAUCCGAACAAGGUUUCAGAAGUUUUAGGUACACCAUUGAUUGCAGCUCUAAGUGGUACUUCUGAAGGACUACCAGAGUCUAUUUCAUUGAAGUGUGUGAAACUACUUGUCGAGGCAGGUGCAGAUGUAAAUUCUACUAAUCCUGAUACUGCCUUGGUAGUGGCAACUACUUACGGGUUAACUGACUGCAUUAAGUACUUGCUAAAGGCUGGUGCAGACCCUAAUAUCCCAAAUAGUCAUUGUGGUGCCAUGCCAAUACAAAUCGCAGCAAGCUGUGGAAGAAGAAAGCAUGUGGAGUUACUAUUUCCUUUAACUUCUCCAAUUCGAACUAUAUCAAACUGGACUGUUGAUGGAAUUCUUGCUAAUGCCAAAUCAAAACACUCCAAGCCCAGGGAUGAGGAAGAUGAUGGCAAUACCAAAAUCCAGCUGAAAUUAUGCGGUGAGGAAGCUGUUAAGAGAAAGGACUAUCGUGGCGCGUCAAUGUUCUACACCGAGGCAAUUGAGUUGGACCCGACUGAUGCAACACUGUAUUCGAAUAGGAGCCUGUGCCACAUGCAAAUGACUGAAGUAGAUAUGGCUUUGCUUGAUGCUAAUACGUGCAUUGAAUUGCGCCCUGAAUGGUUGAAAGGCUACUACAGGAAGGGAGUUGCUCUCAUGUUUCUCAAGGAGUAUAAAGAAGCAUGUGAUGUUUUCAUGGCUGGACUGAAGCUGGACCCUGGAAAUGCCGAGAUGGAGAAAGCAUUACGGGAGGCUGUCGAGGCAAUGAAAAAGGACCACUUCGCUAGGAAAAGCUUCAAACCAUCCGAUUAG
This 1416-nucleotide ribosomal RNA is filed under the name Triticum aestivum (bread wheat). Its description in RNAcentral is "partial small subunit ribosomal RNA". Lineage: Eukaryota; Viridiplantae; Streptophyta; Magnoliopsida; Poales; Poaceae. The record is from RNAcentral.